This 3114-nucleotide ribosomal RNA is filed under the name Salmonella enterica subsp. enterica serovar London. RNAcentral's name for it is "23S ribosomal RNA". It matches the Rfam family "Bacterial large subunit ribosomal RNA". Lineage: Bacteria; Pseudomonadati; Pseudomonadota; Gammaproteobacteria; Enterobacterales; Enterobacteriaceae. The record is from RNAcentral.
GGGUUGUGAGGUUAAGCGACUAAGCGUACACGGUGGAUGCCCUGGCAGUCAGAGGCGAUGAAGGACGUGCUAAUCUGCGAUAAGCGCCGGUAAGGUGAUAUGAACCGUUAUAACCGGCGAUUUCCGAAUGGGGAAACCCAGUGUGAUUCGUCACACUAUCAUUAACUGAAUCCAUAGGUUAAUGAGGCGAACCGGGGGAACUGAAACAUCUAAGUACCCCGAGGAAAAGAAAUCAACCGAGAUUCCCCCAGUAGCGGCGAGCGAACGGGGAGGAGCCCAGAGCCUGAAUCAGCAUGUGUGUUAGUGGAAGCGUCUGGAAAGGCGCGCGAUACAGGGUGACAGCCCCGUACACAAAAGCGCAUGUGCUGUGAGCUCGAUGAGUAGGGCGGGACACGUGGUAUCCUGUCUGAAUAUGGGGGGACCAUCCUCCAAGGCUAAAUACUCCUGACUGACCGAUAGUGAACCAGUACCGUGAGGGAAAGGCGAAAAGAACCCCGGCGAGGGGAGUGAAAAAGAACCUGAAACCGUGUACGUACAAGCAGUGGGAGCCCCACCACUAAGCCAGUGGUGAACUCCACAUACGCAUCCUUUGCUGAGGAUACGGUUAACGGAGCGAAAGCGACGUUCAACCUCAAAAGAAGCAGAGGGGGCUUAGUGGUGGGGUGACUGCGUACCUUUUGUAUAAUGGGUCAGCGACUUAUAUUCUGUAGCAAGGUUAACCGUAUAGGGGAGCCGGAGGGAAACCGAGUCUUAAUUGGGCGUUAAGUUGCAGGGUAUAGACCCGAAACCCGGUGAUCUAGCCAUGGGCAGGUUGAAGGUUGGGUAACACUAACUGGAGGACCGAACCGACUAAUGUUGAAAAAUUAGCGGAUGACCUGUGGCUGGGGGUGAAAGGCCAAUCAAACCGGGAGAUAGCUGGUUCUCCCCGAAAGCUAUUUAGGUAGCGCCUCGUGAAUUCAUCUUCGGGGGUAGAGCACUGUUUCGGCUAGGGGGUCAUCCCGACUUACCAACCCGAUGCAAACUGCGAAUACCGGAGAAUGUUAUCACGGGAGACACACGGCGGGUGCUAACGUCCGUCGUGAAGAGGGAAACAACCCAGACCGCCAGCUAAGGUCCCAAAGUCAUGGUUAAGUGGGAAACGAUGUGGGAAGGCCCAGACAGCCAGGAUGUUGGCUUAGAAGCAGCCAUCAUUUAAAGAAAGCGUAAUAGCUCACUGGUCGAGUCGGCCUGCGCGGAAGAUGUAACGGGGCUAAACCAUGCACCGAAGCUGCGGCAGCGAACGUAUCACUUAAAGCGAUUCAGCGGGUUACGAUUGACGGAGCGAAGCGACGUCAAAGCGUAUACAAAGUCGAGUCGGUUUAAGGAUACGUUCGUUGGGUAGGGGAGCGUUCUGUAAGCCUGCGAAGGUGGCCUGUGAGGGUUGCUGGAGGUAUCAGAAGUGCGAAUGCUGACAUAAGUAACGAUAAAGCGGGUGAAAAGCCCGCUCGCCGGAAGACCAAGGGUUCCUGUCCAACGUUAAUCGGGGCAGGGUGAGUCGACCCCUAAGGCGAGGCCGAAAGGCGUAGUCGAUGGGAAACGGGUUAAUAUUCCCGUACUUGGUGUUACUGCGAAGGGGGGACGGAGAAGGCUAUGUUGGCCGGGCGACGGUUGUCCCGGUUUAAGCGUGUAGGUGUGUGUUCCAGGUAAAUCCGGUUCACUUUAACACUGAGGCGUGACGACGAGGCACUACGGUGCUGAAGCAACAAAUGCCCUGCUUCCAGGAAAAGCCUCUAAGCAUCAGGUAACACGAAAUCGUACCCCAAACCGACACAGGUGGUCAGGUAGAGAAUACCAAGGCGCUUGAGAGAACUCGGGUGAAGGAACUAGGCAAAAUGGUGCCGUAACUUCGGGAGAAGGCACGCUGACACGUAGGUGAAGUGAUUUACUCACGGAGCUGAAGUCAGUCGAAGAUACCAGCUGGCUGCAACUGUUUAUUAAAAACACAGCACUGUGCAAACACGAAAGUGGACGUAUACGGUGUGACGCCUGCCCGGUGCCGGAAGGUUAAUUGAUGGGGUCAGCGCAAGCGAAGCUCCUGAUCGAAGCCCCGGUAAACGGCGGCCGUAACUAUAACGGUCCUAAGGUAGCGAAAUUCCUUGUCGGGUAAGUUCCGACCUGCACGAAUGGCGUAAUGAUGGCCAGGCUGUCUCCACCCGAGACUCAGUGAAAUUGAACUCGCUGUGAAGAUGCAGUGUACCCGCGGCAAGACGGAAAGACCCCGUGAACCUUUACUAUAGCUUGACACUGAACAUUGAGCCUUGAUGUGUAGGAUAGGUGGGAGGCUUUGAAGCGUGGACGCCAGUCUGCGUGGAGCCGACCUUGAAAUACCACCCUUUAAUGUUUGAUGUUCUAACGUGGACCCGUAAUCCGGGUUGCGGACAGUGUCUGGUGGGUAGUUUGACUGGGGCGGUCUCCUCCUAAAGAGUAACGGAGGAGCACGAAGGUUGGCUAAUCCUGGUCGGACAUCAGGAGGUUAGUGCAAUGGCAUAAGCCAGCUUGACUGCGAGCGUGACGGCGCGAGCAGGUGCGAAAGCAGGUCAUAGUGAUCCGGUGGUUCUGAAUGGAAGGGCCAUCGCUCAACGGAUAAAAGGUACUCCGGGGAUAACAGGCUGAUACCGCCCAAGAGUUCAUAUCGACGGCGGUGUUUGGCACCUCGAUGUCGGCUCAUCACAUCCUGGGGCUGAAGUAGGUCCCAAGGGUAUGGCUGUUCGCCAUUUAAAGUGGUACGCGAGCUGGGUUUAGAACGUCGUGAGACAGUUCGGUCCCUAUCUGCCGUGGGCGCUGGAGAACUGAGGGGGGCUGCUCCUAGUACGAGAGGACCGGAGUGGACGCAUCACUGGUGUUCGGGUUGUCAUGCCAAUGGCACUGCCCGGUAGCUAAAUGCGGAAGAGAUAAGUGCUGAAAGCAUCUAAGCACGAAACUUGCCCCGAGAUGAGUUCUCCCUGAGACUUAGAGUCUCCUGAAGGAACGUUGAAGACGACGACGUUGAUAGGCCGGGUGUGUAAGCGCAGCGAUGCGUUGAGCUAACCGGUACUAAUGAACCGUGAGGCUUAACCUUACAACGCCGAAGCUGUU